AUACUUACCUGGCAGGGAGGAGACACCAAUGAUCAUGAAGGUGGUUCACCCAGGGCGAGGCUCAGCCAUUGCACUCCGGUUGGGCUGACCCUUUGCGAAUUCCCCAAAUGUGGGAAUCUCGACUGCAAAAUUUCUGAUAGUGGGGGGACUGCGUUCGCGCUCUCCCCUG
Non-coding RNA from Paramisgurnus dabryanus, 169 nucleotides. NCBI's taxonomy places the organism in Eukaryota, Metazoa, Chordata, Actinopteri, Cypriniformes, Cobitidae. The record is from RefSeq and is a predicted model, not a curated record.